RNAcentral lists this ribosomal RNA (422 nucleotides) under uncultured bacterium. Its description in RNAcentral is "partial 16S ribosomal RNA". It matches the Rfam family "Bacterial small subunit ribosomal RNA", at positions 360 to 774 of the family's 1533-position model. The record is from RNAcentral.
AAUAUUUGACAAUGGGGGCAACCCUGAUCCAGCCAUGGCGCGUGUGUGAAGAAGGUCUUCGGAUUNUAAAGCACUUUAAGUUGGGGNGAAGGGCUUUAGGCUAAUACCCUGAAGUUUUGACGUUACUAACAGAAUAAGCACUGGCUCACUCUGUGCCAGCAGCCGCGGUAAUACAGAGGGUGCAAGCGUUAAUCGGAAUUACUGGGCGUAAAGCGCGCGUAGGUGGUUCAGUAAGAUGGGUGUGAAAUCCCCGGGCUUAACCUGGGAACUGCUUUCAUAACUGCUUAGCUAGAGUACGGUAGAGGGUAGUGGAAUUUCCUGUGUAGCGGCGAAAUGCGUAGAUAUAGGAAGGAACACCAGUGGCGAAGGCGACUACCUGGAAUGAUACCGACACUGGGGUGCGAAAGCGUGGGGAGCAAACA